This 450-nucleotide ribosomal RNA is filed under the name uncultured bacterium. RNAcentral's name for it is "partial 16S ribosomal RNA". It matches the Rfam family "Bacterial small subunit ribosomal RNA", at positions 354 to 796 of the family's 1533-position model. The record is from RNAcentral.
GUGGGGAAUAUUGGACAAUGGGCGAAAGCCUGAUCCAGCCAUGCCGCGUGUGUGAAGAAGGUCUUCGGAUUGUAAAGCACUUUAAGUUGGGAGGAAGGGCAGUAAGUUAAUACCUUGCUGUUUUGACGUUACCGACAGAAUAAGCACCGGCUAACUUCGUGCCAGCAGCCGCGGUAAUACGAAGGGUGCAAGCGUUAAUCGGAAUUACUGGGCGUAAAGCGCGCGUAGGUGGUUUUGUAAGUUGGAGGUGAAAUCCCCGGGCUCAACCUGGGAACUGCCUGCAAAACUACUGAGCUAGAGUACGGUAGAGGGUAGUGGAAUUUCCUGUGUAGCGGUGAAAUGCGUAGAUAUAGGAAGGAACACCAGUGGCGAAGGCGACUACCUGGACUGAUACUGACACUGAGGUGCGAAAGCGUGGGGAGCAAACAGGAUUAGAUACCCGUGUAGUCC